Arachis ipaensis is the source of this 979-nucleotide non-coding RNA. NCBI's taxonomy places the organism in Eukaryota, Viridiplantae, Streptophyta, Magnoliopsida, Fabales, Fabaceae. The record is from RefSeq and is a predicted model, not a curated record.
ACAAAACGAAACCCUAGCAGAAACACUCCUCCAUGAAAACAACUCCCUAGCGAGGCUUUUCUUCAAAUUCAUGGAGGCUCCACCGGCGUUGGCACCGCCUCGCCGCCGAUUUCGAUUUGCAUGACCACCACGAUCCUUAUUCUAGAAGAAAAUCGUUCGCGUUCGUGUCAUCAUCACAGUUCACCUCGGUUCACCAGUACUGCAUUUUUGCCACCAUCGUCGCGACUCUGUUUAGAUCCUUCGCGUUGUGUGGUCGCGUCUGGCCUCUCUCCUCCGUUUGAGAUCCGUUGCUCGCGCGUCUCUGCCUAUGCGUCUGUUCGAGUUGCGCUUACUGUUCGUGUCAUCUCCCUCCUCGCAUCUGUUCGAGUUGUGCAACCUUGUUCAUCUUUUUCAAGCACAGAAUCUUCUUCUUCAGCACCAAAUUGAUUUUAUCCAUGGCGCAGCUAGGACAUCAUGUGGGAUACAUAUAUACUCUGUCUCAGGUCCAAACUCUUCGAACCAAAAUGCCUUCGGCCUAAGUUUGUGCGUGCCAAAAGCCUAAAACCUUAUGCUGGAUUGCUGGAUGGGUAAUGUGGGCUAAGGGCAACAGGUUCAAUCAUUCUAUGGAGCAAGUGAGAAAGAGCCAAAUACAAAUGCUAUGUGCCUCUGGCAUAUUAUCUAUCUGUCCACUACUUCAGGAAUGACGGGUUUGCCUAGAUAAACCUGUUGCAUCUCAUCUCUCCAAAUCUGCAAGGACAUCAAUUAUACACAUAGCUUCAACAAUGGAUCCCAAACAGAAGAUGAGAGUUAUUGCCUGCUUGAUUUUUCUAUGUAUGAAGUUGUCUAUUGUAACAUUGAUUUCACUUUAUUGAUGUGUUUGUGUUCUUGUACAAGAGUUGUGCAUGUAACUUUAACUUUUGAGACUUCUUUGUAACUUUAAUUUGGAUAAGAGUAAAGCUUUUUAAUACAUAUGUGGUUAGAACCGUUGAGAUUUAUUUUA